GCCCAGAUAACUCAGUCGGUAGAAAAUGAGACUCUUAAUCUCAGGGUUGUGGGUUCAAUCCACUUGUUGGGCG
RNAcentral lists this transfer RNA (73 nucleotides) under Mesocricetus auratus (golden hamster). It matches the Rfam family "tRNA". From Rfam's summary of the family: Transfer RNA (tRNA) molecules are approximately 80 nucleotides in length. Lineage: Eukaryota; Metazoa; Chordata; Mammalia; Rodentia; Cricetidae. The record is from Rfam by way of RNAcentral.